This 253-nucleotide ribosomal RNA is filed under the name uncultured bacterium. RNAcentral describes it as "partial 16S ribosomal RNA". It matches the Rfam family "Bacterial small subunit ribosomal RNA", at positions 524 to 776 of the family's 1533-position model. The record is from RNAcentral.
UACGGGGGGGGCAAGCGUUGUUCGGAAUUACUGGGCGUAAAGGGUGCGUAGGCGGCUCGGCAAGUCGGGUGUGAAAUCUUGGAGCUUAACUCCGAAACUGCAUUCGAUACUGCCGUGCUUGAGGACUGGAGAGGAGACUGGAAUUUACGGUGUAGCGGUGAAAUGCGUAGAUAUCGUAAGGAAGACCAGUGGCGAAGGCGGGUAUCUGGACAGUUCCUGACGCUGAGGCACGAAGGUCAGGGGAGCAAACGGG